This 148-nucleotide non-coding RNA is filed under the name Homo sapiens (human). The record is from Rfam by way of RNAcentral. Lineage: Eukaryota; Metazoa; Chordata; Mammalia; Primates; Hominidae.
GCCAGGUGUGGUGGCGCACACCUGUAAUCCCAGCUACUCGGGAGGCUGAGGCAGGAGAAUCACUUGAACCCAGGAGGCAGAGGUUGCAGUGAGCCGAGAUCACACCACUGCACUCCAGCCUGGGUGACAGAGCGAGACUCCGUCUCAA